This 465-nucleotide ribosomal RNA is filed under the name uncultured bacterium. RNAcentral's name for it is "partial 16S ribosomal RNA". It matches the Rfam family "Bacterial small subunit ribosomal RNA", at positions 338 to 795 of the family's 1533-position model. The record is from RNAcentral.
CCUACGGGGCGCAGCAGUAGGGAAUCUUCCACAAUGGGCGAAAGCCUGAUGGAGCAACGCCGCGUGGGUGAAGAAGGUCUUCGGAUCGUAAAACCCUGUUGUUAGAGAAGAAAGUGCGUGAGAGUAACUGUUCACGUUUCGACGGUAUCUAACCAGAAAGCCACGGCUAACUACGUGCCAGCAGCCGCGGUAAUACGUAGGUGGCAAGCGUUAUCCGGAUUUAUUGGGCGUAAAGGGAACGCAGGCGGUCUUUUAAGUCUGAUGUGAAAGCCUUCGGCUUAACCGGAGUAGUGCAUUGGAAACUGGGAGACGUGAGUGCAUAAGAGGAGAGUGGAACUCCAUGUGUAGCGGUGAAAUGCGUAGAUAUAUGGAAGAACACCAGUGGCGAAAGCGGCUCUCUGGUCUGUAACUGACGCUGAGGUUCGAAAGCGUGGGUAGCAAACAGGAUUAGAUACCCCUGUAGUC